UCGACGAAUACUUAGUCAAGAUCAUUGCUAUAGUAUUUGUGAUGUUUUAUUGUUAUAAAUAAACAGAUUAUCAAAAGUGAUGAUGAAAAGGCGCGGCUCUAUAAAUGAAAAUAUUUCGAUUUCCUUCAAGUUCUUUAGAAAUUGUUGGGAAUCCGAAACAUAGAUGAUCAAUUUUGGCCUCCAGGGAUUCUUCCCUCGUUGGCCGAAAAAUCAGGAGUUUGUCGCCAGCUGAACUUUA
Molecule: non-coding RNA, 238 nt
Organism: Plasmodium coatneyi
Lineage: Eukaryota; Apicomplexa; Aconoidasida; Haemosporida; Plasmodiidae
Source: Rfam